Long non-coding RNA from Microplitis mediator, 919 nucleotides. RefSeq lists it as uncharacterized. The transcript is spliced from 3 exons. NCBI's taxonomy places the organism in Eukaryota, Metazoa, Arthropoda, Insecta, Hymenoptera, Braconidae. The record is from RefSeq and is a predicted model, not a curated record.
UUGUGUCGGACAAUAUUUCAAGUAUCAAAAAAUUAUUUUUUUGUGAAAAUGAAAAAAAAUUAUUGACUUCCGUUCUCCGGAAAUUUUUCGUCUAAUUGAAUUUAUUUUAAAAUCCACACACGUUUUUUUGAAAUACAUAAAAAAAAUUAAUUGUGUUCAAUGCUACGAAGCCCUAAGAAUAAAUAACCCGCGUAAAUGUCCUUCCGUACCCCGAUCUCCCUUAAUUAAUGUGCGUUUUUUUCUAUUAUCAUUUAUAAAAAUAGUGAGUACUGAGUAGAGAAAGGAAUAAAAAUAUCCAUAUCCUUAAUAGGAAAAGGCUAAAAAUGUAAACACGUGACAUGUGAAUUCUUUACUCGAAUAAAGUACACACGUAUGUCUAUGCAGUAUGCACUCAACGGGACGUCUUAUACAAGAGAGUAAUAAAAAUUAUUUAACCUCAGUAUAGAGAAGAUUACGAGCAAACGAUACUAUAGUUGAUACAGACAGACAGGUCAAAAUAAUGCAACAACUCCGCCCAAAAAUAUAAAUUGAACGUUACCGGUGUGUGGUCUCGACUACCAGGCAGAGUAUAACCAAGUAAAGGGGUUGCAUGCUCAUGUCCAAGUACUCUUAUAAAAUAUAUAUGAAUAUAUGUGUAUGUAUAUUAAUAUGAGAUGAGAUGAGUUGAAAUGAAAUGAGACGAGAGAAGAGAUGAAGAGGAUGCAAAAAGAUAUAAGGGAGUUUAGUAUAUGGGGUUUAAACCUGGGCGAUCGAGAGUUUAUCACCGACAUCCGGAUUUACGCGCGACUGAGAAGUGAAGGUGCCCGAGGGUCGUUAACGAUAUUGGAAGCUUGAGUCAUUGCAAGAGUAUAUAUAAUAAGAGAAUUAAAUAAAACUACAGAAGCUAACAUUUCGUCCACGUGCUCGUACAUUAAUUACA